RNAcentral lists this ribosomal RNA (543 nucleotides) under Triticum aestivum (bread wheat). RNAcentral's name for it is "partial small subunit ribosomal RNA". The record is from RNAcentral. Lineage: Eukaryota; Viridiplantae; Streptophyta; Magnoliopsida; Poales; Poaceae.
AUGCCAACGGGGGCCGUCGGCAUCGCAAGUUUUUCUGGUAGUGGCGGGGGCUCCUCUCUGCCCUCGGCGCUCGAUCUUCGAGGGUGGGGGGGCGGGGACGCCACCCGCCGCCGAGGUCAUCCGCGGCGGCAUGAAGAGGCCGCGCGUGAGGCCGAUGCUCGGAGGAGCUCCGGCGGUGGCGAGGCCAACGCUCCCCGCGCUAGGGUUUUCAGCGGCGCGGUUGUGAAGGUGAAACCACAGUUGGUUGCCACUCAUGAAAGAGUGAGCAGUGACACAAAUAGUGGUGCCGAUCCUCCAGGUUCCAUUGAAGGAAAUAGUAAAAUGGGCGCUACAAAUCCUGGUCCAGAAGAUGCUGCCGAUCUUUUAAGAAUGUGUCUCCAAUGUGGUAUACCAAAGACCUAUUCACACGCACAAGGUAUGGUAUGCCCUGUUUGCAAUGAUAGACCGGCGCAGACAAAAGAGCCAGAAAAGAUGAGAGGGCAAUCGUCGCAUGCAUCAUGGAAAAGCGAAACUGAGAUGGCUCUGCGGCAACAAUUUGACUGA